CUUUAAAAUAUAAAAGAUUUGU
Molecule: small nuclear RNA, 22 nt
Filed under: Arabidopsis thaliana (thale cress)
Lineage: Eukaryota; Viridiplantae; Streptophyta; Magnoliopsida; Brassicales; Brassicaceae
Description: snRNA_01369
Source: RNAcentral